UACGUAGGGGGCAAGCGUUGUCCGGAAUUACUGGGCGUAAAGGGAGCGCAGGCGGUCCUUUAAGUUAGAUGUGAAAUACCCGGGCUUAACUUGGGAGGUGCAUCUAAAACUGGGGGACUUGAGUGCAGGAGAGGAAAGUGGAAUUCCUAGUGUAGCGGUGAAAUGCGUAGAUAUUAGGAGGAACACCAGUGGCGAAGGCGACUUUCUGGACUGUAACUGACGCUGAGGCUCGAAAGCGUGGGGAGCAAACAGG
This 253-nucleotide ribosomal RNA is filed under the name uncultured bacterium. RNAcentral's name for it is "partial 16S ribosomal RNA". It matches the Rfam family "Bacterial small subunit ribosomal RNA", at positions 524 to 776 of the family's 1533-position model. The record is from RNAcentral.